Long non-coding RNA from Sphaeramia orbicularis (orbiculate cardinalfish), 181 nucleotides. RefSeq lists it as uncharacterized. The record is from RefSeq and is a predicted model, not a curated record. The transcript is spliced from 4 exons. Lineage: Eukaryota; Metazoa; Chordata; Actinopteri; Kurtiformes; Apogonidae.
GAGCAUUCUACAUUCAAACAUCCCAGAUUUCUGUUCCUGUUUAUGGAAGGACUGACACUGACAUCUACCACAAGAAAGAAACUCAUCAGCACAGCAGGGACUGAAUGGACAAACCCACAUUCCACACCAUGUUUGAACACAUUUAUAGAAUAUGGGACAUUAAAGUUUUGCGCAGAUGUCC